This 434-nucleotide ribosomal RNA is filed under the name uncultured bacterium. RNAcentral describes it as "partial 16S ribosomal RNA". It matches the Rfam family "Bacterial small subunit ribosomal RNA", at positions 29 to 507 of the family's 1533-position model. The record is from RNAcentral.
AGCGAACGCUGGCGGCAGGCCUAACACAUGCAAGUCGAACGAACCUUUCGGGGUUAGUGGCGGACGGGUGAGUAACACGUGGGAACGUGCCUUUAGGUUCGGAAUAACUCAGGGAAACUUGUGCUAAUACCGAAUGUGCCCUUCGGGGGAAAGAUUUAUCGCCUUUAGAGCGGCCCGCGUCUGAUUAGCUAGUUGGUUGAGGUAAUGGCCCACCAAGGCGAAGAUCAGUAGCUGGUCUGAGAGGAUGAUCAGCCACAUUGGGACUGAGAAACGGCCCAAAAUCCUCCGGUAGGCAGCAGUGGGGAAUCUUGCGCAAUGGGCGAAAGCCUGACGCAGCCAUGCCGCGUGAAUGAUUAAGGUCUUAGGAUUGUAAAAUUCUUUCACCGGGGACGAUAAUGACGGUACCCGGAGAAGAAGCCCCGGCUAACUUCGUG